UUUCCGUAGGUGAACCUGCGGAAGGAUCAUUAUUGAGUUUUUCUACUCCCAAACCCCUGUGAACUUAUGCCUUUACUGUUGCUUCGGCGGGUUAACGCCCCGGAAGGCCCAGAGACCCGCCGGAACCAGGCGCCCGCCGGGGCACCCAAACUCUUGUAUUUCUUACUUUGCAUGGCCGAGUGGGAUCAUAAACAAAUGGAUCAAAACUUUCAACAACGGAUCUCUUGGUUCUG
Molecule: unclassified non-coding RNA, 233 nt
Filed under: plant metagenome
Description: partial contains small subunit ribosomal RNA, internal transcribed spacer 1, and 5.8S ribosomal RNA
Source: RNAcentral